RNAcentral lists this ribosomal RNA (116 nucleotides) under Bacillus sp. ISL-57. RNAcentral's name for it is "partial 16S ribosomal RNA". It matches the Rfam family "Bacterial small subunit ribosomal RNA", at positions 1 to 113 of the family's 1533-position model. Lineage: Bacteria; Bacillati; Bacillota; Bacilli; Caryophanales; Bacillaceae. The record is from RNAcentral.
UCUUCGGAGAGUUUGAUCCUGGCUCAGGACGAACGCUGGCGGCGUGCCUAAUACAUGCAAGUCGAGCGAAUCGAUGGGAGCUUGCUCCCUGAGAUUAGCGGCGGACGGGUGAGUAA